UUGUGCGCUGUAUGGGAGCAUCACCUGUCAAUUAAAAGCUGACGGCUUAUUAGCAAAAGGCAGGAAGUAGAAGGUGGGAGUUCUGGUAGAAAGAUUGGAACUCUGGGAGAUAAGAGUCAGAAGAUUUACCCUGGGCUCUGAGAAAUCGGAAGCAUGAAACUGAGGAGAGGAAAACUUAUGGAUUCCAUCCAAACUGAUAAAAAUCAGAUUUGAUAGAGGAAGACCCUCUGAAGAUCUUGACUGCAGAAAGGAAGAAAGAAAUCUAGAAGACCAAAUAGGAUAGGUAACAUGAUUGAUUUGCUGGUUGGUUAACUGUUCAUGGGAACAGCCAUGAAACUAGCUGAGACAUAAAAAUGUCUCUAGCCAGAACUUCAGUUACACAUAGCCAAUAAGAUUCAUUGGGCCAUCAUUUCAUACAGUAUGAAUGGAAAUUUAUAUUGCAGUUUGAUUAUGUGGUCAAACUAACUUUUAAGGAAAGAUAGUUGUCUUUCACCUGCUCAAAAAAGAGCAGAAAAAAAAUCACCCUUAAUUGAUCUGUGCACCCUGCAUGUUUCAUACAAAUGUCUUUAUAAACCUAUGAACUGCUUGCAAAGUUUGUAUAUUGCAGAAUGGAAGGCCAGAAGAGCAGCCCUGACCGGAUUCACUUUCGAGGAUGCUGGGAUGCUGAAACCUGCUUUUCCAGCUCCCUGAUCAAUAUUGCCUCAAACUGAUGCUGUUCCAGAGACUUGCUUCCAGAACAGCUUCAAAAAGGGCUGCUAAUCCCAGAUGACCUUGUUUCAUCCAGUCUUUCAGAUUGUUCUAAUCAGGACUUCAGUUAAGCCCUAAACUUUCUCCAUUCAAGACUUCAGUUAAUCAACCUAUAGAGACUGGACAACAAUAAUGCCAGCUAGCUUUCUUUUGACUUAACCAUUUUUCCAGUUUUCUCUUGGGCCCCCAAACUGGAACUCUUUUCCCCAAUUCAGCAAGAAGAAACUAUAAGAAGACUGUCAUCCCAAUCACUUAAGUUGGGGUGGAUAGUUUUGAUCAUUUUAUGAAUUAUAGAUAUAUUGUCAUUUUAAGGGAUGAUUACAAAUAAUUAUGGUCUUAGACAGGGAGGAAAUUAUAUAGGGAGCUGAGACUCAGAGAUUGCUAUAUCUCUUUUCCUUUUCUCUAUCCUUCUUUCUUUCUUAAAUAAAGAUAAAGAGGUUGAGAAGAAAAAGGGGGCAUAUAGAAAUAUUGUAAGAAAUUAGACAAAUAGGGGUAGAUUAUUAAAUCUAUUCUUAAAUAAAAACAUUUUACAGUGAUAAUCUUAUAUUGAUAGAGAUAUUUAUAUUUUGAUGCAAAAUUGAGGUUAUAUUUUGUUACAUUGGCAUAGGUUAUUAUAUAUUGAUAUAAAUUUAAGGUUAAUUUUGAUACACAUAAUGUAUAUGUUUUCAAUUUUCAUAUGAGAUAUUGUACUUACAUAAUUCUUAAAGAUCAACGUAAAGUUCUACUCUUUUUAAAAACUGCUAUUACAAACAAUUAGGGGUGAUAAAAAAUACAAGUUAUAAACUAUUAAGAUGGUUAAGAAAUAAGCUCAAUAGUCAGAUAGUCAAACUCAUGAUCAUAGUUGAUACUAAUUUAAUUAAUUAUAAUAAAAUGUUCUUAAGGUUAUUCAGAUAGUUAAUAGCUAAGAAUAACGAAUGUCUAGUUGGUCUUCAAAACCUCAUAGAUACACAGAAUAUGGCAUUUAAAAUUAUUUCAUUAUUAAAAGAUCUUUUGACUAUGAGACAGGUCUGUUCCUGACAGUACCCCCAUUCCACUUCAGUGAAGGUGAUGAGCAUCAACAAUAACCUCCAUAUGGAGUUGCUCCAAUUGUAGCAAGUUAGCCACUGGGCAAAGAAAAUACCUAUGCUUCAACUACAGACAAAUCUGUUCAGAAAGGACAAAUGGAUGAAGAGCCAACCAAGCUCUGCCUAGACAGGGUAAGAAAAUCCUUCAUAUUUCCUGCUUCAACCAAAGGUCUGUCAGAUAUACUGGGCCAGAAGACUGAAGAUAGAUGCUCCAAUGUUAUAGAGAAUACUGGGGACUGUUUGGGUGAUCAGCUGUCUCUGUCAUUUCUAUAAUUUUUGUAAGCUGUGUUCCUGUGCUUCCUGCAUAUUCAGGUAAUAUUUAUUUCCUUCUCAAACUUCUGAUGGGAUUGAAAACUAGACUAGUUAUAGUCUUACUGUAAGCUUAAGUUAGUUAAGAUUUAAGAAGAUUUCUAGGUCUAAGAAGAUAUUUUUAGGAUGGCAAUAAAAGUUAGAAUAGAAAUAGAUUUAGAUACAAAAUUCUGAACUCACCAAGAUAGGAUAAAUAAUAACAUACUUUUUCCUAAAUUGCCAAAUACAAACAGUCUGGACAUUUUGAAUAUAACUCAUACCUAAUAAUUUUCAUGAUUGUUUCAUAAUUUUUCCUACUCUAUAUUGUAUAUAGAGAAAGAGCCUUUUUAUUCAUACAAAAGGGAUUGUUGAGGUUUGGUCUGAUGCUAUGCAUUGUAGUGCUAAAUAUUGGCCCUGGUUGCCUCCCUCUCUCCCCCCAGGAAUGAUGAGAUUCUCAAGUAGACCCAAGUAAUGCUAUGUAACCUUGCCCUUCAAGUUAUCUCACAUUGGUGAAUAAAGAUGCCUACAUUCUAUUGCUGGGCAAAAGAGAGAUAGGCAGAGUUUUGGUUCCCAGGCUUGGAGUAUUAGGCAGAGACCAUAAGGAGAGGAAGAGGUAGAGAGAAAAGACUCUACAGAGUAAGUGAAUCAUGAAAACGUGCCUUGAGGACUGGCCAGUUGAAGAUAAGAGCAGCCCAAACGGAACAUGGCAAAUUAUAACUCGGGGUUAUUAAUAGGGAAGUUGACAUAAGAGAACAUAAAUGCCAGCCCAGACUACUAUACCCAGCAAAACUCUCAAUUACCAUAGACAGAGAAAACAAGAUAUUCCAUGACAAAACCAAAUUUACACAAUACCUUUCCACAAAUCCAGCCCUACAAAGGAUAAUAGAUGGAGAACACCAACACAAGGAAGGAAACUACACCCCAGAAAAAGCAAGAAAGUAAUCUUUCAACAAAUUCAAAACACAAUAGGCACACAAACAUAAUUCCACCUCUAACAACAAAAAUAACAGGGAGUAACAAUCACUUUUCCUUAAUAUUUCUUAACAUCAAUGGACUCAAUUCUCCAGUAAAAAGACAUAGAAUGACAGACUGGAUAUGUAAACAGGACCUAGCAUUUUGCUGCAUACAGGAAAUGCACCUCAGUGACAAAGACAGAUGCUACCUCAGAAUAAAAGGUUGGAAAACAAUUUUUUAAGCAAAUAGUCCCAAGAAACAAGCUGGAGUAGCCAUUCUAAUAUCAAAUAAAAUUGAUUUUCAACCAAAAGUUAUCAAAAAGGAUAAUGAAGGAUACUUCAUACUGGUCAAAGGAAAAAUCUACCAAGAUUAACUCUCAAUUCUGAACAUCUAUUAAUUAAUGUGGGCACUCACAUUAAUAAAAGAAACUUUACUAAAGCUCAAAGCAUAUAUUGCACCCCACACAAUAAUAGUGGGAGACUUAGCAUCCCACUCUCAGCAAUGAACAUAUCAUGGAAACAUAAACUAAACAGAGACACAGUGAAACUAACAGAAGUAAUGAAUCAAAUGGAUCUAACAGAUAUUAAUAGAACAUUUCAUCCUAAAGCAAAAGAAUAUACUCUCUUCUCAGCACCUCAUGGUACCUUCUCCAAAACUGACUGUAUAAUUGGCCACAAAAGAGGCCUCAACAGAUGCAAGAAGACUGAAAUCAUUCCAUGUACCCUGUCAGAUCACCGUGGACUCAAAUGCUAACAAAAACAAUGGAAAACACACAUACACAUGGAAACUGAACAACACUCUACUCAAUGAUAACUUGGUCAA
Molecule: long non-coding RNA, 3875 nt
Organism: Mus musculus (house mouse)
Lineage: Eukaryota; Metazoa; Chordata; Mammalia; Rodentia; Muridae
Product: predicted gene 16083
Exons: 2
Source: RefSeq, a predicted model, not a curated record